Molecule: long non-coding RNA, 10270 nt
Organism: Cuculus canorus (common cuckoo)
Lineage: Eukaryota; Metazoa; Chordata; Aves; Cuculiformes; Cuculidae
Exons: 4
Source: RefSeq, a predicted model, not a curated record
GUCUUAUUUACUACUAAAACACAGCAGUGGGUCAGGACUAACAUUAUUAGGCUAAGCAUUCAUAUGCUCACUAUCCACGGGGCAGUCACCUUGCGAGUCUCUGCUGGCCAAGGUGCUGUCAAUCAAGCAGAGAUGUGUCAGCCUCUGUUUCUCAUUAGAACAGGAUGAUCCUCAGGGCUGUUGAUGCACUGCCUUCUUUCUCUCUGCAUCUUCUUGUGGGGUUUUUAGAUCUCAUCAAGUCAAUGAUAGUUUUCUGCUUUUUUUCCUCUGCUGAAUCUCUGAUGAUUUUGCUUCUCUGCUUCAAACCCUUACUUACUGGUAGUGACUCAACAAGUUCACUUCUGCGGUCGUUCUUUGUUUCUACCUUCUUGCCUUGCAUGGCUUAGUUGCUUAUAAAAGUCUCUCACCUCCAGAUAAAAGUGGGAGUGACAGCUACAGCUCAUCUCCAUGAAAACUGAACCAUGAGUCACAUAAACUGUUCCAGUGAUACCUAUUGAUUUUACAGUCAAUAAACAUACAAGGACCCUAGCUGCUCCAAGGCUUCCCCUCACAGGAUCCAUUCCAUGUGAACAUAUGUCUUAAAGAAAAGCGUUCAUUCAACCUGCUUAUGCAUGAGGGUUGCAAGUAUACCCAAAGACACAGAAAGAAUGGUUUGCAGCUUACUUGCCUCCAUGCAUUGUGAAUCAUGACAAUAGAAAGCUGGGAAAACAGUAAUUAAAACCAAAUUCUGCUGCUAUACACAAAUACUGAGGGAUAUGUAUGAGGCAUGUGCUUAGGAUCUUACAGAGGCAAAUGAGACUGUUGGGUAAAUAGACAGUACUAGGUAUUGCUGUGUUCUUACAUUUCACAUUUCAUAUCUUUCUUGAUAACUGUAACUACUCAGAAAACCCAAAGGCACAAUUUUAGUUGGGGAUAAUGUAUGUGCCAAAGUACAAACAUCUACACCAAUUCUCUAAGGUGUUAGAAUUGUCUAAAAAAACAUAACAGAAAGAGAAACAUUCCCCCCCUGUUCUCUGUAAUUCAAAACUUAAUUACAAACCCAAAUCCAGGAAUUUCACUCUGGGUCCUUCAAUGGAUAUGUAACGUUUUGUGCAAAGUGUUGAUGGAAUGAUCAACACUUUGCAAAUACCCUGUAGAAUAAAAGUAUCUUAACUAUGGCAGUCUACAGACUGUGAAGCAAAGGAUUUUCUAACACUGAUAACAAGUGGUACCAUAGUCAAUCCUUAAUGCCCUGCUUCACAAGCCUCUGUAGUAUGCCACUGUACUGAGAGCUACACAGAACCCAUCCAUGCAUCCCACUCUGCAGUGCUAUUGCAAGCAGAGAGGAAAAUAUCUUCUUUCAACUUUAGUGCAAGCCUUUUUUUGGUGGGUAAGCAAGUAAUGUUUGUUCUGGCUGUAGUAUCUGUUCUAAAUUUUAUAUAUUUGCAGUGUCUGGAAACUCCACUAAUGGCUGUGUGUGAAACUGUGACAGGUGGAUUACAGAGAUAGAUGACACUGGCCAUUUUUAUGUACUUGUAACCUGAUCAAACGUAUUUCAUUUUUAUGUCCAUGAAUGACUUCAAAGAGUAAACCAACAGAAAAAAUCCCCAAAACACUAGCAGAGAUGCAAAAGAAUCUGGGAGGACAAUGAAAUUAAUUAUACACGCAUUUACAUCACCUUGAAGUAAGAUUCAAGUAAAGUUUCAGAAAGAAUCAUGUCUGAGAUUUGAGUGCCAGUCAUACCACCAUGUACUGUAUGUAGAGCUAAGAAGUGAUCUUUUUCUUUCUUUACAUGAACCUUGAGAGAGAUAAGAUCAAGAAAAUUCAUCCUUUUUGCAUUGCCUUGAAUUUGACCACUCUGGUGGCACUGCUGCAGGUGCACAGGCUGUGAGGCUGCACCUUGACACCCUCCUCACUGUUAACAUGUUGUUGUCUGCAGGACUGCCUGUAGUCCUAUGGAAAAUUAGGGUAUACCACUAUGACCUCUCCAAAAGCUCCCGCAUGGUAACAUUCUGCAGAGGGAUGCGACAUUCUGGCUCAUGAGGUAGUGCCUCUCGGAGGAAUUUGGCUAAAGUUAAAACUCACUAAUCUGAAUGCCACUUCACAUCUUUAUGCUUCUGAGAUGAGUGCAUCCUCUUCCUUCAGUUUGUGGAAAAGAAGUGCAACUCAUGACUUCUUCUCUGUCUCCUCACCCAAAGAGUAUCAGCGCCAGUAUGGUUUUCAGAAAUUUGUAAAUAUUAUUUACUUCUGUUCUUUUUUCAGAGUCAGGAAGAUUAGAGGGUAACUGUUCUCUAAGCAGCAUGUUACUUCUGCUUCUAACAGAAAAAAAUAUAGAGCAGAUCUGUGCAAAGAAAUUGUUGGUUUUGCUUUAAAUUAAUGCACUUCCUUUCUCAGAGAAACUGUUUCAGUCUGGAUGUUGACGCAAUGUUUGUGUUGUUUCUUCUUUAAAAGUGCAGAUCCAUUCUCAGUCACAGCAGAGUGUUAGCAUAACAUCACUUAGGUGCCUGCCUGGGGUGUAUAUGUGUGUGUAUGUAUGUGUCCUAUUUUUGAGCUAUUUUAACUUACGCUUCAUAUUCUAGUGCUUUCUGAUAAGUAGAGUUUAUGUCAGAAUAAUUGGCCUGAGGAUUUUUCUUUCCAGUCCAGUACAUUUCUGAGGUACAGCUACAUGGGAGAUAAUGGAAAUGCCUCUAGAGUAUCUGUCUGACAAGGGAAACAGCAAGCGUAAGGAGUGAACACAAAACAGGGACCUUGUCAAGGAGUGUGCAAGUGAAUCAGUUCAAUCAGUCACUGUGGGUGACGUAUCUCAACAAACUGAAGCUGACACAAUGGUCAAUUUGACUGAGGAAAGUAUAAUUUUGGAUUAGGGUGAACACCUUUAAUCUGUCAAUUGUGGCAGUCUUAAACCUGUAAUUGAAAGAGCACAGCACUAUGUUACUCCAGAUGUCAGUCAAACCCAUUCACUGCCUUCUGAUCACUGAUCAGUUUGCCAUCUUUUCCAUAUUUACUUAUUAUAUUCCUAUUUAUUUCCUCUUUAGGACAAUAUUCUUUGCUCCACUUUAAAGAAAUCUCAAUCUAAUAAGGACAGCUCUUCAGAAUAACACUGGGAUUCAUCUGAUUUUCAAGCAGGCCAUGGGAAACAACAAAAUAGAAUAUCACCAUGUGUUUAAUUUUAGCUCUCACUCCUUGAAUUGCUGUUUCAACUGCAACACACUAUCUUAUUUUUAGUCUGCUUGUGUGCCUGAAUAGUGCCAGCCCAGCCACUCCAGAACUGCAGUCCUGCCUCUCUGUUGCAAUUCACAAUGAGGUAAUUUCUGCCCUGGGAGCAUCACCCAGAAGAUGGUUGCGUUUCCAGCUCAGUUUAUUUGUCUCUCCAGCCCCACUCUGGAAUAGGAACUGAAAAAUUUUGGGAAACACAGAGAAGCUAUGCUCAGCAACUUCACAAUAUGACGGUUCCGAUACAAGGCGAACUCUGGCCUUCAACCCUGGUGCUCAAAGCGUCUCUCACAGGACCUGUUAUAUAUCUACCAGCCCUGUGCCAGUGUCCAAGGGUAUCAGUGUUACAGAAAUUGCCAGAUCAAGAGAAGCAAAAAUGCAAAAGAAAACAAAAGUGAGAAGAUGAUGAGUUGGGAGACCAGCUGGUAUACAUCUGCUUUGCUAAGCUUGCAUUGAAAAUGAGUAUCAUUAUUCUUGUUCUGCAUGCAUCCUACUGCAUUUAGUAGUUGUAUCACCUAGAAGAGGCAACAGGCAUAUCCUGUGGCUUGCUCAAAUGUUUUCAACAUGGGUUAACUAACUGUUCAAUAUCCUAACACAGGGAGUUUUUCAACCUUUCGGUGCCAAGUUGAUCUUCAGGCAUGUUCAAAUGGAGGAAUGCUUAGUGGAGACUGGGGGUAUUAUUUUGUGGAGACUUUGACGAAAUUUAACACGCUAUCUUUAUUGACUUAAGGAAAAAAUCAAUGUCAUAUUAAUCUAGGCACUAUAUUAAAAGUUUCCAUUUUCAACAACAUUGCCUGUAUGUUGUAGAAUAAGCCUCUAAGCGUGCUUUUUGGCAGAUGGUUAAAUAUUUAAGUAGUUGGCCACAGAUUUUAAAAAAUUGAGAUAAUUAGAAGACUUGAAGCAGUUAAUAUUUAUUAGUCACUAAGAAUUUGACAGAUUGGAUGUUUUCCUACCCACACAUUCUCUUGCAGAAAAAAAUAAAGCCCUUAUCUUUCAUUGUAUACAAAGCAAGCUUUUAUAUGAAGCAGAAGUAGAUGGUAUGGACUUCCCAGGUUUCUCGCUAUGAGACACUGAGAUUAGUAGCUACAAUUUAAUUCAAGAAUAGGCCGGAAAACAACAUGCAAAUGAUGAGGUCUCUGUGAAACUGCACAGUGUUCACCCUGGAAAGAGCUGAGGACUGAAAUCUAGGACUGACUAUUCUGCAUCACUUCAGCCUUUUGGUGUCUCUAGCAAGGUUGCAGGGCUACUCCAGUGAUUUGAUUUAUGCAAUAACCCAUUUUCUAUUAGCUUUACCUCUUCCGUUGGCCUUCCUUGCAGGAGAGGAGAUGAACAGAGUACCAGUCUUGUGGUGCACCAGAACCACAUAGGAGAAGACUCCCUAAAUAGUGCAUUAAACUGGCAGGCAGAAGGCCAAGAACUGAGAGGUUACAAAGGCUAACCUAGGGGCUAGUUUCACCAGACAUGUCCUCUUUUAUCUGUCAUGAAAUCUGACUGAAAAGAAGCAUUGGGACAUUUGCCUAGGCUUGCUGGCUGCCCCACAGACAGGUCUGAACAAGAGCAGUAACAGGCUUUUGACUAGGCUGCAGUGCCCAGCUAUGUUGAACACACCAAGGACCACAGCUCAGGACUUCCUCUGCCAAGUCAGGCCAGUCCAACUGCACGGAGAAUAUAGCCAACCCACACAGACAGCAGGUUGGAUGAGCUCAGGAUGGACAUGUGGGCAUCUGCACAGCAUGUACAUGGUUGGUCUAAUGUGUUAUCCAUCUGUCAGACUGUCAAUACAUGCAAAUGUUCAAGCAGUAUCUGUGUGCAGACAAAGCCUGUGCAAUAGAUGUACAUGGUACUAACGUAUAAUAGAGGAGCCACUUGAAAUCAUUAUCUUCUUUCAUAAGACUGAAACUGACUUUGUCAGUGAUUCAUGAAAAGCAUGAAAGUAGCAUCAGUGUUAUGCUACAUAGCUGACUAGCUAGGAUGAGAUACUUAUCCAUUAUAUCUCACCUCUCUUUCUUAAUAGCACCACUGAACGGUCAGUACGUGCCCCAGUUUGAAAUCCCUUGGGUUCCUUUACAUUCAAAGGCAAAUUGAAAGUAAGAUAAACCCAAACAAGGCAUCUUACUGACACCAUUUGCAUGUACCCACAUGCAGCAUUAAAAAGAAUGGGUGCAUAAGAUUAACUGUGGCAGGCAGGAGAAUGAGCAGAAAGAAUUUUCGUCAGCGUCUACACAGCAAGGCCAAUGACAGACGGCAGUAUAUUAUAUAUCUACUAUAAUUCUUACCUGAUAAAAACUAGUAGGACAAGAUCAACUGCUCUGGCGAGCUGAAACUGAUCUGGAGUCACCCCAGCACUGCCCUCAAGGGAACCCAAGAGAGGAACUGGAAAGCAGCUGCAGAUAUUAACCUAUGCUGAUGCAAGGUUUCUCUCUAAGCGGAUGGUACCUGGAGCAGAGCGACCCCCUGGCUAGACUCUCCCUUACUGUCGUCAGAAGAGAUGAACUGCUAAACCCAUUGAGGUAGUUUUUCUUUAUCCUCCAAAAAUCUUUAGGGUCAUCCCUAUCAUUUACAAAAAGAUGGCAUAUUUUUUCAUUUUUCAGCAUUUUUUCUUUAUUAAUAUUAUUUUUGAGAUAUUUUUCCCAGUGCCUUCUUUUCAGACAAUAGUAAUUCAUGCUUUAUUUAUCUCAUUACUAUACUGAGACUUUGGAGGACUGAAAAAUGGGUAGGCUUAUGAGGUACAACAAAAGCAAAACCUGUUUUAAAUGAACCAAGACUUAGAAUUUUCAAGCUUUCAUAGGCUUUCUUUGAAUGAAAAAAGCAUGUUGGAGAAAGUCUGUUAAAGUUUCAGUAUCUUUCCUACUCAAGGAGGGAUCACAAUCCUCAGCCCUAGAAGCUCCAGCAAGAUUCACUGCAAACCAGAAGACGAGACAAGAAUGGAAGCUAACAAUAAAAAAGAAGCUGCAACCUUUUAAAAAACAAAUAUCACAGGAUUCCUUUACACAACAUAAAGAAACAAAACGGAAAUGAACCCACAUUGUUUCCUUUUCAAGUACCCAGAAGAAAAAUCUGCACCUUAAAAAGGUUUGACCUCAAUAUAGGCCAUAAUGUAAAAAUGUAGGGGUCUUGGAAACUUGUACAUUUCCUGGACUGAGGCCCAGAUUUUGUAAUAGAUCUUGCCUGUUACUAUUUUUCUUUCUUCUUCCAGUGGAGAGGAGUCUCUUUUGAAGAAAUGUGUUUUCUAGGCACUUUGACACACCAGAGUUGGGUCCUGUUUAAAUACUUCAAGUUUGUUAAAUACACAUAUAGUUGCAGCAUUUUCUGGGUAUGAGCCAAUAUUGUCUGCCUGGAUCCAGUUCUUACUAUCAGUUUGUUGGAAAGGCUAGACAGAGUGGUCUUUACCUGAACACGUAGAGUAUACUGUAGGUCAGAGAGAUAGUAUUAAGGCAGACAAUUUGUACCUAUAUUUUCUUCACCACAGUUUAAUGAGCGGCACCUGAAAGAAUUUAUGCCCAUAUUGAAAUCUUCUGCCUAAGUGAGAAGAGGACUUCUAGUACACACUGGGAGUGCAUCACCUAUGCUUGGAAAAUUAAUUAUUUCCGCCCUUACUUCACUUAAGGAAACCUGUCAACAAUUUGAUGCAAUUACUAAGAGUACUCUUUCAGGGGCCAUUUUGCUGGGCUAGACACAAUGUGCUUUUGCACGUUUUUUUUCUCUUCUGUUCCUAAUGCUUUCCGGGCUGACCUGAAACUGUGGCGACAAACUUUUCAAGCCUACCAUAAGAAGCUCAGGGACUGUCAGUACAUCUCUUUGCUUAUUCUUUUUGGUAUCUAGAGGACAUGUAUGCAAAUGCUUUCCUGUAUGCAAUCUCAAACCAGUGGACUGAAGGCAUCAGAGAAAACAAGAGACAGAGACUGAUUAAUGUUUUUUUUCCUCCAGAUAUACCUCUAAAAUCAGCUAGAAGGGGGCCAGACAUACAAUAAGUCAUAUUUCCUAGCCCCACUAAAAUUAAUUCCUACCAUAUCUUAUCAAAAAAUUGGCCAUGAGAGAAAUUUUUCCUUACUGGGACAUGCAUAAGUCACUCUAACUUUUGUGGCUGUAAAAUGAAAGCAAUUCCUUCCCCACCUUCCAAUGUUUGCUCAGGUGCAGUUUGAUUUCCACAUGAACUGAUUCAGGAGAACCUGCCUAAACCAGCAAGCCAACAGGAGUCACCAACCAAUUUGCACUGAGUGUAAACAAAGUCCUCAUCCUGAAAGACUUUGUUAUGUAAAAGUACACUACAUAAAACCAUCUUUACAUUUGUGACUUAUUGUAAGUCCUUAGGUGAUUUACCUUUAAGGAUGACUACACCUUUAAUCAAUCAGCAAGGCAUGCAGUAUGUAAAGUUCAUGCUAGCUUGAGUGGCAGUAGACUGUGUUUUUCCCCUGGUGAACAACCCCCUUAUAGCCCGUGAGCUGGUGAGGUUAUGCAGCCUGCCUAUUAGGACUGCUCUCAGUCACAUGCCUGACUGCACUCUCAAGUCUCAAGGCCACGAGUAAACUUUAAAGGAGCUUUGCCAAUUAAAUGUAAGCAGAAAACAAAGACUGUAUUUUUAACCAAAGCAAAUGUGAUCAGAAAUGUCCUCGUGAUGCUGGUACUGAUAAUUAUUCCUAUUAUUUUGCUUUCAAUAAAGAUGGCUUUUAAUUGAAUAUGAAUAUCAAAAUGUGUCAUGAACAUAAAGCCAUCUAAAAACUAGAGUUGAUCAAAUUGUCCACUGAUGAUUUGAAAUAAAUUAAAUGCUUUUCACUAGUGGUGAAAACUAAGCCUAAUUUCAAAAGACAAUAAAGAAUUUCUAAGUCAAAUGAUUUAUAGUCUUGUUUUGUGGAUUUUACAAGGGAAAAAAAAAAAGCCUAGAUGGCAUGCAUUAUCUACAAGAGGCAAAGACAAAACAUUGCAGAAAGGUUGUGCCAGAUGAAUUCCAGUAAACCUGUUAUAUCAUAUCACAGUCCAACUAGAUUACAGUAGGUUGCAGAAAACAUAUUUGAGGAAUGACAUAGGGAAUUUUAUAGAAUGUACGUGGAUUCAUUAUUGUACUCUCUCAAUUUUAAAUUUAAUUGAUUCAGUCCUCAGUUCAGAUAAAAUAAUGUUCCGGCUUCAGUGUUUAACUGUUCUGCUGGACUAGGACUCUGCCUACAAUGAAUCUAAGUGCACAGACUCCAAAGAGGUUUUCUGGACUUAAAAAUGUCAACAUUUUCAAUCCCUUUAUCUUGUUUUCCUUUUCAAUAUUAAAAGCAAGUGGUGACCAUACCACUGGGAAGCUUCUCUCUAGUGCUAUGAGCAUCUUGGUUCUAAUCUUGUCCAGCUAUGAGACAGCUAAAAGCUAUGACAGGGUAGAAGGUCAUCUGUUUGCGAAAGCCAUUCCAGAACUUCUAGCAUACUCUGAGAAGCAUAAUACCAGGAAAAGCAAGAAGCAUAUAAAAAAAUUCAGGGGGUCCAAAAUAGAUGCUAGGUUGCUUGCUACACUGCAUCAACAGAUUUCUUGGAAACAGAUCUUGUAGAAAUAUAUUGAAUUCAUUUCUCUUGGGGCCUCCUAACACCCUCCUGAAAGUCUCAGGUACAUGCUGAACAAAAGGGAGAACUAAGCAUUUUGACUUAAAAAGCCCUUUGAUCAGAUGAAUUCAUGUUUAAAAGAUAAGCGAGAACGUGACCAUUCCAAAGGGAUCCCUUUAAUUUCUAUCAUGAUUCCCAUAAUUCAAUAGCUAACAAUUAUGCAUUUCAAAGUCAUCUGAAAGAACCAAUAAAGACUGAUUGAUUACUUCAUCUGUAUACAUCACUAUGAGACACUACCACUCGAUGCUGCCAAAGCCAGUUCCAUGCCAGCCCUUGAUCUAAAAUUAGACUAAGGACGUGGAAGUGUUCUUUCCUCUACAAUGAUCACCUAAACACAAACGAGCCAACAGAGGCUGAGAGUCUGCAAAUCAGCCAGUACUAAUGGGUGAUUAUCGAUGACAAAACCUCAUGACCUCAAGACCAGGUCCCUCAGGACUCUCCUGAGGGAGACACAAAUUUCAGCACCCAGUAAGCAUGGUCCUCAAAUUUUCAGUUAGGGAUGUGUCUGGAAUUUUACUCGGAGAAGGUAACAAGGCAGAGAAGACAGACAUUCAGUGCAACAGCUUGAAGUAAUGAGAGUGGUUCUGGUUUCCCAGAACCUAAUCGGCCAUAACAGAAGUAGAAAGUACUUUGCACUGGCUUAAUCUCCUCACAGUUAUUUUUGCAAGGAAGAACAGAGAUCUCACAGUCUCAGUUCUGCAGUUUUGUCCAGCCUGAACAGUGUGGAAUAUUUCAGCCCUGUAUCUGGGCAGAGGUAGCACCAAUUAGCUGAGCUUCUCAUUUCUCAGAAACAUGCAUGCCAUUUCACAGAUACUGAGUGGAGGUCAAGGAAAUGCCUUUUGGCUCUGACUUCCCCAGACAGUUUUAGCACUUCUUCACACUCAUCUGAUUGCACUUGGAUUUGAGCACUUGCUUAAAGUCAAGAAUCUUUUUGCUGCUCCGUGGAAGACAAUGCCUUCAAUACAAUCGUGAACUAACACAAAUAUAGGUGAGAGCUAAACUUCCAUCGCAGCUGUUCCAUCUGGGACCACCUGUGAGAACUUAUACUAAGCAAAGGAUUGUCCUCAUCUAACUCCACAGCUGCUCAGACUGCUAUUACCUUUAAAGAGAAGAUGGGUUUUAUGUGUGUAUGUAGGAACUUAAGCCUCAUGUUAUUUUCUGUGCAUACUUCACAUGCACACAGCAUGCAUACACCUAGAUCCAUGAGUAUAUAUGCGCAUGCAGAUAAACAGAUAAUUUGGAAUUAUUUCAAAGCAAGUGAAACAUUUUUCUUUUCCUUCUAGUUGUUUCGCAACAAUUUGGCCUUGGGAUUUUCCAGGGAUCUGUAUGUAUGAGUGACAUACUUGUCUGUUUUUACAGCUCCUGCCUUAUGUCAAUUUAAGCAUCAUUCCUACACCUGGAGGAGUUCAACAAACAUCAGAUCACAGGUGUCACCCUCCAUUGGUUGAAGGCUGGCUCCAGAGAGUCUAGCCAAUAUCUGCUUUGGCUAUUAACAGCCUUG